ACCGAGGCUACAUGUUGAAUGAAAGGCACUGUAAGUCUGCUGGGUCUGUGACCGAGGCUACGUGUUGAAUGAAAGGCACUGUAAGUCUGCUGGGUCUGUGACCGAGGCUACGUGUUGAAUGAAAGGCACUGUAAGUCUGCUAGGUCUGUGACCGAGGCUACAUGUUGAAUGAAAGGCACUGUAAGUCUGCUAGGUCUGUGACCGAGGCUACAUGUUGAAUGAAAGGCACUGUAAGUCUGCUAGGUCUGUGACCGAGGCUACAUGUUGAAUGAAAGGCACUGUAAGUCUGCUAGGUCUGUGACCGAGGCUACUACAUGUUGAAUGAAAGGCACUGUAAGUCUGCUGGGUCUGUGACCGAGGCUACGUGUUGAAUGAAAGGCACUGUAAGUCUGCUGGGUCUGUGACCGAGGCUAGAUGUUGAAUGAAAGGCACUGUAAGUCUGCUGGGUCUGUGACCGAGGCUACAUGUUGAAUGAAAGGCACUGUAAGUCUGCUGGGUCUGUGACCGAGGCUACAUGUUGAAUGAAAGGCACUGUAAGUCUGCUGGGUCUGUGACCGAGGCUACGUGUUGAAUGAAAGGCACUGUAAGUCUGCUGGGUCUGUGACCGAGGCUACGUGUUGAAUGAAAGGCACUGUAAGUCUGCUGGGUCUGUGACCGAGGCUACGUGUUGAAUGAAAGGCACUGUAAGUCUGCUGGGUCUGUGACCGAGGCUACAUGUUGAAUGAAAGGCACUGUCAGUCUGCUGGGUCUGUGACCGAGGCUAGAUGUUGAAUGAAAGGCACUGUCAGUCUGCUAGGUCUGUGACCGAGGCUACGUGUUGAAUGAAAGGCACUGUAAGUCUGCUGGGUCUGUGACCGAGGCUAGAUGUUGAAUGAAAGGCACUGUAAGUCUGCUGGGUCUGUGACCGAGGCUACAUGUUGAAUGAAAGGCACUGUAAGUCUGCUGGGUCUGUGACCGAGGCUAGAUGUUGAAUGAAAGGCACUGUAAGUCUGCUGGGUCUGUGACCGAGGCUACAUGUUGAAUGAAAGGCACUGUAAGUCUGCUGGGUCUGUGACCGAGGCUACGUGUUGAAUGAAAGGCACUGUAAGUCUGCUGGGUCUGUGACCGAGGCUACAUGUUGAAUGAAAGGCACUGUAAGUCUGCUGGGUCUGUGACCGAGGCUACGUGUUGAAUGAAAGGCACUGUAAGUCUGCUGGGUCUGUGACCGAGGCUAGAUGUUGAAUGAAAGGCACUGUAAGUCUGCUGGGUCUGUGACCGAGGCUACAUGUUGAAUGAAAGGCACUGUAAGUCUGCUAGGUCUGUGACCGAGGCUACGUGUUGAAUGAAAGGCACUGUAAGUCUGCUGGGUCUGUGACCGAGGCUACGUGUUGAAUGAAAGGCACUGUAAGUCUGCUGGGUCUGUGACCGAGGCUACGUGUUGAAUGAAAGGCACUGUAAGUCUGCUGGGUCUGUGACCGAGGCUACGUGUUGAAUGAAAGGCACUGUAAGUCUGCUGGGUCUGUGACCGAGGCUACAUGUUGAAUGAAAGGCACUGUAAGCCUGCUAGGUCUGUGACCGAGGCUACAUGUUGAA
Long non-coding RNA from Oncorhynchus keta (chum salmon), 1572 nucleotides. RefSeq lists it as uncharacterized. The record is from RefSeq and is a predicted model, not a curated record. NCBI's taxonomy places the organism in Eukaryota, Metazoa, Chordata, Actinopteri, Salmoniformes, Salmonidae. The transcript is spliced from 5 exons.